This 264-nucleotide ribosomal RNA is filed under the name uncultured bacterium. RNAcentral describes it as "partial 16S ribosomal RNA". It matches the Rfam family "Bacterial small subunit ribosomal RNA", at positions 90 to 354 of the family's 1533-position model. The record is from RNAcentral.
UUCGAGUGGCGGACGGGUGAGUAACGCGUGGGUAACCUGCCUUACACAGGGGGAUAACACCUGGAAACAGGUGCUAAUACCGCAUAAGCGCACAGGGCCGCAUGGCCCGGUGUGAAAAACUCCGGUGGUGUAAGAUGGACCCGCGUCUGAUUAGCUUGUUGGCGGGGUAGGGGCCCACCAAGGCGACGAUCAGUAGCCGGCCUGAGAGGGUGGACGGCCACAUUGGGACUGAGGCACGGCCCAAACUCCUACGGGAGGCAGCAG